Molecule: transfer RNA, 72 nt
Filed under: Anolis calimae
Lineage: Eukaryota; Metazoa; Chordata; Lepidosauria; Squamata; Anolidae
Description: tRNA-Trp
Rfam family: tRNA
About the family: Transfer RNA (tRNA) molecules are approximately 80 nucleotides in length. Their secondary structure includes four short double-helical elements and three loops (D, anti-codon, and T loops). Further hydrogen bonds mediate the characteristic L-shaped molecular structure. tRNAs have two regions of fundamental functional importance: the anti-codon, which is responsible for specific mRNA codon recognition, and the 3' end, to which the tRNAs corresponding amino acid is attached (by aminoacyl-tRNA synthetases). tRNAs cope with the degeneracy of the genetic code in two manners: having more than one tRNA (with a specific anti-codon) for a particular amino acid; and 'wobble' base-pairing, i.e. permitting non-standard base-pairing at the 3rd anti-codon position.
Source: RNAcentral
AGAAACUUAGGCUAACAAUUUAAACCAAGAGCCUUCAAAGCUCAAAAUACAAGGUUAUCCCUUGUAGUUUCU